UGUAUCAAACAGAAAUUUCUGUCGCCUGUAAAAUGAUAUCACAGCGAUCAGGAAAGUGAGGAAAUUGCUGGAGAGCCAAACAGGAAUAUGUCUGGAAUUUGGAAAAAUGUUUCAGAACGCAGGUUGAGAGAAGGCACAUCAGACGUCCUCCCCGUGUGUGAAUAGAUACCUCGCCCACCCUCUCUCCCGCUGCAUAUUUAUUUCCGACAGAGGGCGAUGGAACUGGCGAAGCUCUCGAACGACGAAGAGGGAGAUGCGGUGGUGAACGGCAGUCUCAUUGGCGAGCCAUGUCACGAGAAGGUGAUAUUAAAUGAUGGGUACGAUCCGACUGACUCCAUUUCAGCCGAACGUGAGGAAUUCCUUCCCCACCCGUCUGGGAAGAAACC
Long non-coding RNA from Rhincodon typus (whale shark), 386 nucleotides. RefSeq lists it as uncharacterized. The record is from RefSeq and is a predicted model, not a curated record. NCBI's taxonomy places the organism in Eukaryota, Metazoa, Chordata, Chondrichthyes, Orectolobiformes, Rhincodontidae. The transcript is spliced from 3 exons.